Molecule: long non-coding RNA, 216 nt
Filed under: Carica papaya (papaya)
Lineage: Eukaryota; Viridiplantae; Streptophyta; Magnoliopsida; Brassicales; Caricaceae
Description: long non-coding RNA (CPAP_LNC005920)
Source: RNAcentral
CUGCUCCCUGUGGAUGACAGCGUACCCUCUGAUGAGAGUGGUGACGUGAUAUGAUUGUCGAAGUCACCGUUUGUGAAGCACGACUGUGGUCAUAGUUAACAUGUAGAACCAUUGUGGUUGGUAUGGUCGUAAUCAUAGAUCGUGUUAUGGUUUGAAAAGCUGCAAAUUGUUGUUAUCAAUGAAAUGAAUUGGUCAUUCCACAUGAGUAGUUAGAAA